UGCAUUUUAGUUUGAUGAUGAAUGGCUGAAAUGUCAGGCAGCGGUAGAACUAAUGUUGUAUGUGCGUAAGGCACCUGUACGAUCAGAUGGUUUAAAUUAAAUAAAGAUAUAAAAAAUAAAUAAAAUUCAUUAAGAGUGUCACAAAAAAGUGUGUAGCCUUGUUGCACAGUUUUGUUUGUUUGUUUGUUUUUUCACCACUUUGUUAAUCUUUUAAUUAUAUUAUAGCCUAUUAUAUAUUUUGUCGUGUUCCUGUUUACUUUCACAGAAGCGCUGCAGGUGCAUGAUGCAACGAUUGAAUCCUCAUGGUCUUGUUUAUGGUGCUAUUCGUGCAUAUAAAGCUAAAGCCCUGUAUACCCCCCCCCCCCAAAAAAAAAGGACAUUCUAAUCUUACUGGUUAACGAUCAACUAAUGAGCUUCGUUUGAUGAUCAGGAAAACAUAAAAGAACAAAAUGCUGUCAUUCUACAAUUCUCCACCGUAUUUACUAUGCUGGGCGCAAGUUUAGGUAACUCAAAAACUUGUGCACAUGAGCUUAGACCAGAUGUGAGAUUCGAUCGUAACCAUCGCUCAUGUCCUUAUUGAUAAAUUCCAAGUUUUGCAUUAAAACAACCUUACGCCCAAUUGUUUGCCGUCCGUUUGUUUCGUAAAUAAAGCCCACGGCUUGGGGGUUUUCUAGUUACAGAAUCCCGAAUUACUCCAUUGCCACUUCGCUUAUAAUGAAUCCAGACCAGAACAAAGAAAUCUCCAAAUUAGCUGCAAAAACAUUAAAGACCUUUUGGUUGGUCAGGAUCUGUGACACGUCUAGGUUUGUCAACAUGUGUUUCUGCUUAAGCAGUGGAGAAACUGCAGUGAUGAGGAGUAUGGCCAUCCAUCAUCCACUGGUUGUUGUAUAAGUUAACCCUUCCUCCCUUGCAUUCCCACGGUCAUCAAUCAGCGUUACAGUAGUGAUGACACUCUGAUGUGAUUUCUCAUCAAUAUCACAUCCAAAAACUGCUGAACCUUUAAAACGGCUUGAUAAGAUGAAGGGGAGGAAGAGGAUGAAAGGAGAGAGACAUAGAGGAAAGACGGGCCUAGGGAUCUUCAUUGUCUGCUGUAGAUCCUCUUGAAGUAUUAGCUCCAGUUCUGUUUCACUUGCAUGGAAUUAUUUGUUGACGA
Cyprinus carpio carpio is the source of this 1153-nucleotide long non-coding RNA. The record is from Ensembl. NCBI's taxonomy places the organism in Eukaryota, Metazoa, Chordata, Actinopteri, Cypriniformes, Cyprinidae.